GGUGGAUUCGACCCACCGGUGUUGUCCUCUAGGGGAUAGCAUCAAACCACCAUAAGGUGCUUUGGUAAAGAGCCAAGGUAUUGAGCGUUAUGGAAACGACCAAUCCAAGAGUUUGGUCAGGU
Flavobacterium beibuense F44-8 is the source of this 122-nucleotide non-coding RNA. The record is from Rfam. Lineage: Bacteria; Pseudomonadati; Bacteroidota; Flavobacteriia; Flavobacteriales; Flavobacteriaceae.